AGGUCAGUACCAAAUCCACAAUAUUUUAGUUAAAUCAUAGAUAUAUGUACGCAGAUCUUAAAAAGAAGUACAAAAAUCAUGUUUCGAGACCAUGUUUUAGAAGAACGAAAUCUUGAAUUUUAAAUCUUGAAUCUGGUACUGAUGCAGAUACUGGACCAUGUGGAAGCUACCUAUGUUCGGAUGCACUGAUGCCACCCAAGUGUUGGCUGAGGUGGAAGAGGCGAAGAAGGCAUACCCACAGGCCUGGAUCCGUAUCAUUGGAUUCGACAACGUGCGUCAAGUGCAGUGCAUCAGUUUCAUUGCCUACAAGCCAGAAGGCUACUAAGUUUCAUAUUAGGACAACUUACCCUAUUGUCUGACUUUAGGGGCAGUUUGUUUGAAAUGUUACUUAGCUUCUUUUUUUUUCUUCUUCCCACAAAAAUUGUUUAUGUUUCCUACUUUCUAUUCGGUGUAUGUUUUUGGAUUCCUACCAAGUUAUGAGAACUAAUAAUAAUUAUGAUUUGGUGCUUUGUUUGUAAAUUUUGUUGUUUCACAUUCGUGUGGCGUAUAUGAGUUUCAUCUUGAUAAUAUCUGCAAAUCUUAAAUGCAAAUUAUGGUCCACACAUUCACCCUCAUCCCAACCACUUCUAGAAUAUGAAAGUUAUUCAAUCAUUCCUUCACUUCCCAAAAAGUUAUUGUGCUUCAUUUGUAUGGGCUGCCUUAUCUACUAUUGAAUUGUAUGGGCUGCAAAUUUGGCAAUAUCUGUUAUUGAAUAUCUCAAGCUUUUUCAUGGCCACAGUUGUAGAAACUGGAGACAUAAAGGAUAAGAUUUCAUUUUUGGGUGUAUGAUCAUCAUAUCACUUGCAAAUACUUAAGUCACAAUAGAAGUUUGGUUAAAGGUUCUCAUAUCAUUAUAUCUAUAGAAUACUUCCAACUUCAUGACAUCAACUCUUCCAAGAAAUUUGGCUGUAUUCUAACUAUUGUAACUUAUGUGAGGGUAUUUAUAUGACUGAAGCAUGUACCUUGUGUGGAAUCCUCCAACUUGUGUGUUACAUAACUAAUAGAUAUGUGAGACACAUCAAAAAUCUUCAACUCUUUAGAAACAGAAACCACCAAGAUUAAGGAUACUCUCAGAAAAAGAAAAAGAAACUCAAUCACCAGUCCCUAUUCCAAAUUUCAGAUAUAUACAAUACUGCAGGUUUUGAAAUUGUCAAAAAUUUGUGGCACCAAAAUCAAUCGAGAGUGACAGCACAAAACAAAACUAACUCUCAACCACCUUAUUUCAAAUAAAUGUGCAACAGCCACAUCGUUGCACAAUAAUAUUAACGAAAAACCAGAACUUUUCCCCUCUAAUAAAUAGCUAAUAUCUCCAAAAUCUUCUCUUCUUUUCUAGAUAUUCUAUAUACAUUGUUGAGCUGCCGACUUUAUAUACUUCUCAGUAAGGAAGAUUUUUAAGCCAUAGCAGCCAUGUGGGAGUUUUGGCAGUCAAAACCCUCUACUCUAUUUGGUGAUUGAGUUUGCCCAAGUCUUGCCAUUGAACACCUUCCUUUACAAAUUGUUGAUGGAGAAGAUGAAGCUGAAGUAGAUGUACUUGGUGAUGAUGAAAAACAGGAUUGUUUUUCAUUUGUAAAGCGAGCAUCAUGGAUUAAUGGAUUCAUAGCCCUACAAGGCGGUGAACCAGAGAAGAAAGGAGGGGAUGACGACAAAUCAGAUGUGUAUUGUGUUGCAGCUAUGCCAUCCUGUUAGACCAUGAAGAUCAUUUUAAGAAAUGGCAGGUUGAAUCAGUGGAAUGUUUUAUUAACUUUGUUCUUAAACAGUCAGCACAUUUUGAAAUAGAUCGACAAACGAUACAGCUAUGCAUGUACAUAAGUCACACAGGUAAAUUGACAGUUGAAUAUGAUCACUAGAGCAGUACAAAAAACAAAAACAAAAAAAUAUAGUCCAAAAUUAAUUAAACCAAUAUGCUAAAGAUAGCAUCAUAUCACUACAUAGGUCAUAUUGGUUAAGUGCAUCUCGCAAGCUUGCAUUUGCAGACUAUCAUUAGACUACACAGAAAAGAACAAAUAAUCAGCAAAUACAACUCUUCUACCUUCUGCAAUUGAUGCAAGCUAAAAAAAUGACUUGAACUGAACAUCUAUUGACCUUUCUAUUUUUCUAUUCGUCUGGCCUACUCAAGAAUAUGUGGCAUGGGAUUAAUCACUGUACACCCUAAGGCUCCUUUUAGAAUUAUGCUUCGUUAAGAAUAUCUACAAAACCAUAAUUGUGUUUCCAUAAGGCUCCUUUUAAAAAUAUUUUGCUAAGGCAAAUUUAGGAUUCUCAUAAGAGCUCCAUAUUAAGAAAGUUAAAAGGAUUAGAAAGUAAAAUAAUGUAUGGAUCGAUGAGGCCAGGCCUAGCUGGCUGAUAGAAUAUUGACAUGUAUUAAGGAAUGGGGAUAGACUGAUAGACAGAAAGACAGGGACGUACAUUGCAAUUAUUUGCCAAUUAUCAUUUGAUUGGACUCUCAACUACCUCAACUUUCAAUUUGUCUCAUGAAAACCCAUACUACCUACUCCUAUGGAUUGAAUAUUUUCUGUCCACUGAUUACCUUUACACCUUAAAAUCACUUAAGCAUCAAAGCUACUUCUUGCCUUAUGUAGCUUGUAAUUCUACACUCUCCGAUGAUGAGGAUGCUUUUCAUAUUAACUAUAUGCAAAAAGUCCAAGAUAUUUCUGAUUAUAAAGAUUAAUGCAAGAUGCAACACCAACCUACUAACACAAUGUGCAAGGUUUAUCAUGUAAACAGCCUUCAUGUAUACAUUGCUUUAGAUUCCGAAGCUUUAGCAAACAACAAAUGUUGACAUAAUUGUAUGCAGAAAAGCUAUAAAUGAUAAGUUUCAUCCCUGGGUAGUAAUGUCAAUUCAAAGAUUCAUCAUAGUCAAGACUAUUUCUACAUUGACCAUCAAUCUACUACGACCCCUUAUUCAAAAAUCUUUCCUUUUUGUGCACUUUGUUUUGACAACAUUCAUCCAUAAAGAAGAAAAACAAAGUAAACAAAAACAGAGUAAAGGAGCGAGUCCAUUAUCCACAGAGUUUUGAAGCCCUCGACGAUUUCUCGGUUACAAAAAAAAAAUUCUAAUGUGAAUAGAAACGUACCUCUUUGAGAAUGAGAUCAGUAAGUUCUGCUCCACUUUUUGAAACAAAGGCAUCAGCUUUAUUUCUUUUCCACCAUCAAAAACAAAAAAGACCCAUUAAAGAGAGGAUCAUCAACAUUAAUGGGUCAUUAAAAUCUUAAAAAAUUGGGAUUAACAAGGAUUAGAAAUAAUUACCUCAAGGGAAGGCAGUUCGAAUGGCUAAUGGUAUCCCCAAGACGACGAGGUUUGGGACAAAUGAGCGAACCCAUUGGAUUAGCGCCGGUCGUGAAUCGGCUACAACCCCAAUACUUCAGUCCGCACCAAGGCAACGGGAAACCCCAUCACCUCUUGAAGGUGGCCGGAAAAGGGAAAAGAAAAAGCUAUUCCUACGAUUUUGGCAAAUGCCUAUUUUGCUAAGAUGAAUAUACGUUUCGUUCCAUAUUUGUAGGUCUUAUAUUUACCUCCGUCCCGUUUUAGAUGAAUAGGGCCUCUACAAAACGCAUAUUGAUCUUACGUUAAUUCUUUCUUUUUGGUAAAAGCUUUGCCAAACUUUAAGGGUUCCUUUGGCAGGGUAUAUAAGAAUAAUGCAUAAUAUAGUGUAUUAAUAACGUUGAUAUUAGUUAUGAUUGCAUUAGUUAUGCUGAUAUUUUUCUUUGAAUACAUAAAUGUAUUUUUUUUUAUAAUUUAAAUUUUUAUUAUCAGGGAAAUAGUUAUGCCACAGUAGUUAUGCUGAUUUCUUAUCCAUUAUUUGAUUUGAUGUAUUAAAUUAUCACAAUUUUUAAAAGAAUUAUUUGUUUACAAAAAUACUUUCAUAACUAGUCCAUCACUUUAUUUUUUUAAAGGAAAUAUAUGUUGAGCAAUGUUUUUAUAUGAACAAGGUUUUAAAAAAAUUAUUUGAUUUGUCUACCUAUUGCCACGACCUAAAAACCGACCCGAUCGUGAUGGCGUCUAUCGUGAAACUAGGUCAGUCGACACAACUCCCGAAUCAACCAUUUUUCAAUAAAAGUUAUUUUUAUACCAUUUAUAAACCAAUAAUCUCAUAAUGAAAAUUUAAAAGAAAAGUACAGAAUAAUUGCACAAGCUCGACAUCGGGGUGUCACUAGUCAUGAGCAUCUAUCAAGGUCUAAAUACAACAAGAGUCUAAAAAUGUACUAGACACAAUAAUAAAAAUGAGAGGAAGGAACCAGUGUUGUGAACGUCGUGCAACCACCUUGCUAACUCUAAUGACUCCGCGUCUGAGCAAUCAACAUCAGCUACCGGGUUCUGAAAUACCUGAAUCUGCACACGAGGUGUAGGGAGUAAUGUGAGUACUCCAACCCAGUAAGUAAUAAGAGUAAAUAAAGACUGAGCAGUAGGAAACGAUGAAACCACAUUUAUGAUAAACUCAAUAAGUACAACAGGCUUUCAAAUCAGAAUACGAGUCAGCCGUCUCAUUUAAAAUCUAGCUUUUGGUAAAAUCAUUUAAAGAUACCUUCCAACAGUUUCAGUAGGGGUUCAAUACCAUUUAUAAUAAACGAGAUGAAAGCCAUAAUCGGCCCCUCGGGCAAAAUAUAGUUCGUAAACAGCCCCUCGGCAAAACAGGAAUCGUAAACACCUCAUAUCAUAAAAGUCUCAGUGGAAAUAACAAAGCCAAAAUCAGUGAUUAAGUACCGAAUAACUCGUAAAAACUCCAGCUUAAAUGAAAAUUUGUUUAAAAAUAUUUGUUCAACAUUUUUAACAGAGGCUCAGUAUAAAGAGGAGUGAAAAUAGCAAUUAUAUCAAACAAGCCCCUCGGGCAAAGCAUCACUCAUAUAUGUAUACAGCCCCUCGGGCAAGCCUCAGUCACUCGAAACUCAACUCUCAUCAGUCAGCGCUCACACUCAGCACUCACACUCAAUAAGUACCAUAUAGUAACUGCUGCGACGCGCAGCCCGAUCCAUAUAUCAUUGCGGCGUGCAGCCCGAUCCAUAUAUAUAGUUGAUUGCUCUCACUUGGGGUGUGCAGACUCCGGAGGGGCUCCUACAGCCCAAGCGCUAUAUCGAUGCGGCGUGCAACCCGAUCCAACAUAUCGAUGCGUCGUUCGGCCCGAUCCACAUACAUACAUACAUACAUACAUACAUACAUACAUACAUACAUACAUACAUAUAUAUAUAUACAUAUAUAUAUAUAUAUAUAUAUUGUUACGGCGUGUAGCCCGAUCCAUAGAUAUAUAAUCCUCACAACCAGGCCCUCGGCCUCUCUCAGUCAUUAACCUCACAAUCAGACCCUAGGUCUAUCUCAGUCAUCAACCUCACAAUUAGACCCUCGGUCUAUCUCAGCCAUCAACCUCACGAUCACUCGGACCAUCAGUAAAACAGGGAACUCAGCCCAAACAAUUUUCACAUUUUAAGAAUUUAAGUGAUAAAAACCAGGUUUAGACAAUAAAACAGGUAAAUCAUGACUGAGGAUAUGCUUUCGGAACAAAUAGAGUGAGAAACAAUAGUAAAAAUGCCCCUAAGGAUCUCAACAGGGCACAAGGCCUCAAACAUGACAUACAAUCCAAAAUAUAAUAUCAAUCUCUAAAACAUGGAAUAUCAUAAGAUUUCAAAUUAAAUACACACUUAACAGUUGUACGGUACAAACCAAGUCUCAAUCCCCAACGGUGCACGAUUCCACGUUCGUCAUCUAGCGUGUGUGUCACCUCAAAGUAGCAUAACGAUAUGAAAUCAAGGGUUCCAAACCCUCAGAACAGCAUUUACAAUCAUUGCUUACCUCGAUCCGGUCCAAACUCUAGCUCGUGAUGUCUUUCCCCUCAUGAAUCGACCUUUGGAUGCUCCAAAUCUAGCCACAAUCAGUACAUAACUAUUAAAAUAUGCUAAGGGAACAAAGCCCACUCAAAAAUAUCCAAUUUACAUAAAAAAAAUCCCGAAAUUGCUCAAUCCCCUCCCCCCACCCCUCGGGCCCAUGUCUCAGAAUCCGAUAAAAAUUACAUCAAUAAAAUCCAGUCACGAGUCUACCCAUGUCAAAUUCGUCAAAAUCCGAUCUCAAUUGCCCAUUCAAAUCCCCAAAAGAAAUCUCAAACUUUUCUUCCAUUUUUCCCUAAUUUUCACUCUAAUUUCUCAAUUAAAUGAUAAAAUUCAAGACCAAAUCAUGGAAUUAAACCAAAUAUGAGUGAAAAAUACUUACCCCAAUAGCUCCACUGAAAAUCUUCUCAAAUUCCACCUUCUCCCGAGCUCUCCAAUGGUUUUUAUGAAAUUGGACGUAAACCCUCAAUUUAAAAAUAUAAACUGUCUACCCAGACAUUUCUUCAUCGCGAACGCGACAUAUCCCUCGCGUUCGCGAAGCACACUGCUUCACUGACCAGAAUCUCUUCUAUGCGAACGCGAGAAAGCUCUCGCAAACGCGAUGCACAACACACUCAACAUCUCGCGAUCGCGACCCCAACUACGUGAAUGCGUAGAACAAAUGCACCGAGGACCCAGCUAUCCUUCCUCCUCUAUGCGAACGCGACCUGAACCUCGCGAACGCGAUGACCAAAGACCUCACACCUUCGUGAUCGUGGAACCAUCUUCGCAAACGCGAAGGCAAACUCCACAGCCUCGCACCUUAACCCUUCACGAACGCGUGACAUGCAUCGCGAAUGCGAAGGUCAAAAACCUGCAACACCAACAGCAGCAAUUCUGUAAUUUCACAGCAUGAAAUAGUUCGAUUGACCACCCGAAACUCACCUGAGGCCCUCGGGACCUCAACCAAACAUUCCAACAUAUCCCAUAACAUCAUUCAAACUUGUUCCAACCUUCAGAACGCUCAAAACAACCUUAAAACACCAAAUUUGCAUCGAAUUCAAGCUUAAGAAUUUCAAGAACUUCUAAAUUACGCUUUUGAUCAAAAACCCAACCAAACCACGUCCGAAUGGCCUGAAAUUUUGCACACACGUCACAAAUGACACAACGAAGAUAGUGCAACUUCCGGAAUUCCAUUACAAUCCUUAUAUCAAAAUCUCACCUAUCAACAAGAAAACGCCAAAAUCUCAAUUUCGCCAAUUCAAGCCUAAACUUUCCACGGACUUCUAAAAUGCAUUCCGAUGACGCUUCUAAGUCUUAAAUCACCUAACGGAGCUAACUAAAUCAUAAAAAUUCUGAUCCGAGAUCAUACACUAACAAGUCAAAACUUAGUCAAACCUUUCAAUUUUUUUUAAGCUUCAAACUGAGAAUUGUUCUUCCAAAUUUAUUCCGAUUAUCCUAAAAACCAAAAUCAACGAUUUACAUAAGUCAUAACACAUCAUACGGGGCAAGUCAUGCCCGAGAACUGACGAGCAAGGUGCAAAAGCUCAAAACGACCGGUCGGGUCAUUACACCUAUAUUGUAGUAUAAAACUAGAUAGUUAUUUAUAAAAAAGAAAAUAUGCAAAGAAUUUAUUUAUUUACUAGGGAUAUAACUUUAUUUUUCCCUUUCUUGGAUUAUUUCAAACUUGCAUUAAUAUAAUAACAUAUUUUAAUUAAGUAUUUUAUUUGAAGGACAUUUUUGUCUUUAACUAAGCUAAUGCAUGCAUUAAAACUUAUUCCAUUGUUAAUACUGUGGUUUCUUAUGCAUUAGUUAUGCAUAGGAUAAUAUCAAAUAAGGUGUAUAAUCAAUGCUUGCAUAACUAAUGCAUAGGUUCAAAAAGUAUACCAAACAAGGUAUUGUGAGUAUACAAAGCUAAUGGAUGCAUUAUUUUAUUUAAUGCAUCCUACCAAACGACCCCUUAUUGUGGAUCAAAACUGCUUUCAAAUUCAUUUAGCCAAACAUAAGCGAUUACUAUACUUCCGAUUAAAAAUACUUUUCAAAAUAAGUAGAUUUUGAAAGUUUGCAAACUAUUUACUAUUCAAAAAUAGUUUUCUUCUAAACACUUAGAGCAUGUUUGGAAAGCCACCUAGGAAUUGGAUUUGGGUGUAAUUACAUAGUUUGAAAUGUUUGUUUGGCCAAGUAAUUACUUGAUCAUCAUGGAAUUGGGUGUAAUUAGAGAGGUGUAAUAUACUCUCUAAUUUUCGGGAGGUGGGAUUUAGUAGUAAUUAUACUGUGUAAUUAUAGGUUGCUUUUAAGUUUCUUUUCUUUUUGUUUUUAUUUUAAUUUAUUUUCUUUAUAACUUUUUAUUUCUAUUCUUUUAAUUUGUUAACUUUGUUUUUAUUUUUAUUGCUUUUGAAAUUUUAAAAAAUAUUUUUUUGUACAUUAUUUAUCUUUUAUUUUAUUAUGUUGGAAUUUGACAUAUGUUAAACUCUUUUUUUUGUAUUUUGAAAUUGUGUUAUAUUAAUAUGUUAAAUUGCGUUAUAUUAAUAUUUUGAAAUUUGCAUAUGUUAAAUUGUGUUAUGACAUUAUAUCUAUAAAUAUUAAUAUAUUUUUUCAAACAUUCAGUCCAUGAUGUUCUUACUAAAUAAUAUUUUUAGUUUUAUAAUUAAUUAAACUAAAUAUUAUUAAUUUGAAAAACAUAUAUAAAUUAUUUUACAAUAUUAAUUAUAAAUAUAUGAUUACUAAUUAAUGUGUAUUCAAGAAAAAAUAUGCAUCUUAAUAAUCUAAUACCAUUUAUACUUAUAAAAAAUUAUUUAUAGGAUUUAUUAUAUUAACUUUUAAGUUUUGAUAAUUACUUCAUUUAAAAUUUAAUCUAAUUGUGUAAUUACACUUGUCCAAUCAAACAGUACACUUGUAAUUCCACUAUAUUUAUAUUAUGACAAACAAACAGGCCAUCAUAAUUACUAAAUUGUGUACUUACUAGCUGUGUAAUUACUACUCUAGUAAUUACAUCAAUUUCAAUUACCGACUGGCUUUCAAAACAGACCCUUAGGCAAACUUCCCAACUAAUAGCAUGUUUGUGUGUAUUUCAGGUUGGGUCGGUGGCUAUUGGUGACGACGAACGGGACGCGCAUGUUCAAAUAAUGGAGAUAGCCCAAGAGAGUGUCAUCAAGGGGCGAUGAGAGUUGGACAUGAACGUGCCAGGUGGCCGCAACACUGUCGUGUACACCAAGACAAUUCUCAAGUUCUACUCGCGGGAGUUGGUACCUCCGAUUUUCCUGUUUCCCUUUGUUGUGUUUAAAUUAUUUCCAUCUUAUUUCGUAUUAGUUUAAUCAUCAUAUUAGCGUGUCUGUAGUUGCAACUUGUCUUUUUCUAGUUUGGUUUGUUGCCUAGUGUGUGUUAGUGAGUUCCCUUAGUUUGUCGUAGGUUUAGUGGUUGCAGUUUGGGAUGGUCGAGUGAUUUCAUGUCCUCGGAGGGAGGGGGUGGGCGGGAGGUGGGGCAGGGGUUAGGGAGUGGUUCGGAAGGCAAGGGAAGUAAGGGCAAUAAAGGUGCCUAUAGGUUAAGAAUUGGGUCGUGGAUUGUAGGAACAUUGACGGGUAAGUCUAUAGAAUUGGCAAAGAUCCUCCGGAAGAGGGGGGUCAAUAUAGUGUGUGUCCAAGAGACUAGGUGGGUAACUACAAAAUCUCAUUUUACCUGCUAUCUUUGUGAUUUUUGACUUGGCUAAUAGUUUCUCUACAAUAUGUUUUUGAUAUUCUAUUUGGUUUAGCCGAUAAACCGUAAGUUAACUGUCCGAUAAUUAUUAAUCCAAUACCAAUAUGCCCGUUGUCUUAUUAGAUGGCUAGCGAAUUACUGUAUUUAUAAUUCGAUAACCAAUAAGCCGAACCGUUAAGCGUAAUUAUCCGCCUAAUCUGCCCGAUAAGCACCCCUAGACUCAAAGCAUUUUUCGGUUGUUAUGGGGUUACACCAAGGUUUUGUGCUCUGUACGUUCUUAUUUGACCUAGUGAUGGACGCACUAACAUACCCAUAUUCAAGGGGAGGUGACAUGGUGUAUGUUAUUCGCUGACGACAUUGUUCUGAUAGAUGAGUCGCGAACCGGUACUACUAAGAGGCUGGAAGUUUGGAGAUAAACCCUUGAGUCUAAGAGUUUCAAGCUGAUCAUGACUAAGAUGGAAUACUUGGAAUACAAGUUCACCGCUGCGCCGAGGGUAGUGGUGCAUGGAUGUGAGGCUUGAAUCAAAGGUCAUCUCGACUAGAGGCAGUUUCAAGUACCUUGGGUCGGUUAUCCAUGGGGAAGAAGAGAUCGACGAGGAUGUCACACACCGUAUUGGGGGUGGGGUAGAUGAAGUGAAGUUUAGCAUCUGGAGUCCUGUGUGACAAAGGAGUGCCUUUGAUACUCAAAGGUAAGUUUCAUAAAGCGGUAGUUAGACCGGUCAUGAUGUAUUACCUGUUAAGAACUCAUAUAUUUAGAAGAAAAAAGUAGUAGAAAUGAGAAUGUUGAUGUAUAUAUACGGACACACUAGGAUGGAUAGGAUUAGGAAUGGUGAUAUUCGGGAGAAGGUAGGUGUAGCUCCCAUUGAUGACAAGAUACGGGAAGCGAGGCUCACAUAGUUCGGGCACGUAUAGGGGAGAAGCCCAGAUGCUCCGGUAAAGAGGUGGGAACGAUUGGCUUUGGAGGGCACGAGAAGAAGUAGAGGGUGGCCUAAGAAAUAUUGAGGAGAGGUGAUCAGACGGGACAUGGUGAGGCUUCAGAUUUCCGAGGACAUGACCCUUGAUAGGAAGCUGUAGAGGUCGAGUAUUAGGGUUAUAGGCUAGGAGGUAGUUGAGUCUUUCUUACUUCGUACCUUUCCGAGGCUAGUUUGAUAGGAUUUUUAUCUGAGACUGCUAGUGGUUAAUAUUGUGUCUUACUACUCUUUCAUUUUUCAUAGUGUCGGGUCUAUUUAAUGGCUAUCUCUUUUGCUUUGCAUCUAUUUUUUGGUUUUCAUGAUGAUGUUAUUUUUCCUAUGGUAUCUGUUGGUGGUAUUUAUAUUGUCUUUUUUUGUCUUUUUGAACCGAUGGUCUUUUGAAAAUAAUCUCUCUACAUCAUCGGGGUAAGGGUAUGUCACACCCCGAACCAUGGUCUGGGCGUAACACGAUACUCGGUGCCUAACUGCAUGUGACUGAGUGAACCAACUGCAUGGAUUGAUCAACACGUGGUAUAACUAUAAGAUAGAGGUAAAUAUAAAACAUGGUAAUCUACUAAGGAGUCUGACUGAAAUACCAUAGAUGCGAAAAAUACUGAAAGGUCUGCCAGUAUAAACAAGUAGCCGACAAGGCUAACACAAGAAAGCCUGCUAAUAUCUGACUGACUGGGUUGUAUUCUACGAAGCCUCUAAAGAUAUACUGAAAAUACUAAUUGUUUACCGAGACAAGGUCCCCGGUAUACCUUAUUAACUGAAAUACUAUAAUGACAAAAACAAAAGAGAGAUAAGGCCCCGGAAGACUGGGGCUCACCAAUAGCUGAUAAGAUGUCCUAGCAAGCAGAAUCGUCAACCUGAAAAUCGUUACCUGCAUCGCGAGAUACAUGCCCCGGGCAAAAGGGACGUCGGUACAUUUGAAUUGUACUGGUAUGUAAAAUAGCUGAACAAAAGAACUCUAAAUACUGAAACUGAACUGCUGGAUGAUAAACUGAUAACUGAACAAGGAAGUAAGGAUGUGAAUACUUCCUCUUCUGAAUGAUGAACAACAUGUUUAACUGAAUAUUAAACUGCGGCCUCAGACCCAAUAUGUAUAUAUAUAUAUAUAUAUAUAUAUAUAUAUAUUCACAACUGUCGGUCCGGGCCCAUGUAUACGUAUACAUAACUGCGACCUCAGGUCCAAAAUGCAUAAAGCAUAAACUGCGGUCUCAGGCCCAAAUACAGGUGUUCAACAUUCAAGAAUAUAAAAUCAGGAACUGAGAAUCAUAUUACAAUACAUGAUACUGAAAUAAUGAGCCAUACCAAGUUACAUGAUACUGGAUUAGUGAUAGGAUUAGACUGAGAUGAGUAUUCAUAAUAAGUUGAUUUAUCAUAACUGAAACUCAUAGAAUAUCGAAUGAUUAUGAGACUAUGCCAUCUAGAGAAUAGAAAUUCUACUACUAUUCAGGGAGCUGAGGCAUAGUUAUUUUCUGAGGAAUCUGGUAAUGGUCAUAAUGAAUGGGACGUAAGGAGAAUCAUGGACAUUCCCAAACGUAAAGAGUUAGCCUUACAUACCUUAACUUCCUGCCUUUGAGCGUAAUACAAUGUUUGUCAACCCUUUCAACUUUAAUCUAUAGCAAUACAAGUCAAAGGGAUUCCAUAUUAGCUAUGAUGUUUAUGUUUUGGUCACUUACGCAUUUUAUCAAACACUUGGUCAAAAUAAAGCUUCAUAGUCCUUAUUAAUGGUGUCUCUACACCCAACAACCCAUUCUCUUGUUCCUAGAUAAAUUUUAAAGUCUCAAAUGAUUAUAUCAACAUUAUUCUUCAUCACCUAUAAUGUAAACAACACUCUUAUCCAAUAAUCAACACUCAACACCCCAAUCCUAUAAUCGUUCAUACUUUUCUAUCAAACCCACCAACUUAUAUCUCAUGAACUAGGGUUUAUAAUCAUUAAACAAAUGCUAGAAUCAAUUAGAGGGUGAAGACAUUACCUUUUUGAAGUUCAAACCCUUUGAAUUCGAGUUCUAGGCUUCCUUCUCUCAACAAUAAUGUCUCAAUUGAAUAUCAAAUGAUAUGGAGGGUUUAUCCAUGUUAAUAAGAUGUUGGAAAAUUGAAAUUAACUUAGAAUCACCAUUAGAACUUACCUUGGGUGGUGGAAGGACCCUUAAGGAGUUAGGUUUUUGAGAGUUCCUCUUUUUAGAGCAAGUUUUUAUGUUUUGGGGCUGUGGGGGACAAAAUAUAGCUUUAAAACGACCCCCCACUAGAGCUCCCGUGCAUCUGGAGGCCUGCCCGCGCUACUGACCGCUCUAAACGGCAGUAACACUUCCUCAAAAUUAGCGCGUCCCCGCUAAGGGCGUGCUACCGGCGCACAUAUCGUAUACUGUUCUGUAAAAUGCGCAUAACCUUUUGCACAGAGAUCUGUUCGGGUUCUAUAAUAUAUAGUUGGGAAGCUAUUUCAAAGACCUACAACUUUCAUGCUUUGAGUUUUCCCAAAUUCCUUACUUAUUUUCACUAAAAUCUGCUGGAAUACGAACCUUCUGCAAACUUAGUCAAUUUUGUCAAAUCUUAUGCACCUCACUUUCCAUCUUGAUUUUGAAAUAACUAUUUUCACCCAUAAUCAUCCCGGUGGGACUUUACAUGUUCAAGGUAUAAGCUUACCAGUCAUUUAACACAUUCACACCUAAGCCGAAUUUACGGGGUGUUACAUUAUCUCCCCCUUGGAAUCAUUCGUCCUCGAAUGAUGGUCCUGGCUGCAACUACGGCUAUCUAUGGACAUUAAACAGGUGUGAUGGGGAUAUGAGGAUACUGAAAUAUCAUGAAUACAUGUAUAUCAAACUGAACGAGCACGUGAGCACUAAAUACUAAGCUGAGUGAAUACUAAAAGACAUGGAGAUUAUAAUAGAAGGCCUGAAUGAAAAGGUUAAUUACCUUCUAUAUUUUCCUUUUGCUCUUUAAAGAGAUGGGGAUAUCUUGACUUCAUGUCCUCCUCGGCUUCCCAUGUAGCCUCUUCAACCUUUUGGCUCCUCCAAAGCACUUUUACUAAAGCAAUUUCCUUAGUUCUGAGCUUGUGGAUUUGUCGAUCAAGAAUAGCCACUAGAAUUUCCUCAUAAGACAGACUGUUUUUAACCCCUAUAAUCUUCGUAGGAACCAUAAGUGACGGGUCUCCCAUGAAUUUCUUCAACAUGGACACAUGAAACACUGGUGUACAGUAGUUAGUUCUUGUGGCAAUUCUAACUCAUAAGCCACCUGUCCGAUCCUUUGAAAAAUUCUAUAUGGACCAAUAUAGCGGGGACUAAGCUUCCCCUUCUUCCCAUAACGCCUUUCAUGGGCGAUACUUUCAGAAACACCCAAUCAUCAACUUGAAACUCUAAGUCUCUACGCCGUACGUCCGAAUAGGACUUUUGGCGACUUUGAGCCGUCUUCAAAUGCCUUUGUAUCAAGUUGACUUUCUCCAUAGCCUGAUAGACCAAAUCGGGUCCUAACAACUCCGCUUCUCCGACUUCGAACCAACCAAUUGGUGAUCUACACCUUCGACCAUACAGAGCUUUGUACGGUGCCAUCUUGAUACUAGAGUGAUAGCUGUUAUUGUAAGCAAACUCAAUGAGAGGUAGAUGAUCGUCCCAAUUACCUUUAAAAUCAAUAAUACAUGCCCUCAACAUAUCCUCCAGAGUUUGAAUGGUGUGUUCUGCCUGUCCAUCUGUUUGAGGAUGAAAAGCGGUGCUGAGGUUCACCCUUGUGCCCAAUCCCUUCUGAAAGGAUUUCCAAAAGUUUGCUGUGAACUGAGCACCAUGAUCUGAGAUAAUGGACAAAGGAGUCCCAUGCAAUCAGACAAUUUUCUUUAAUAUACAACUUGGCAUAAUCCUCGGUCGAAUAUGUAUUCUUCACUGGCAAGAAGUGAGCUGAAUUGGUAAGUAGGUCUACAAUCACCCAAAUCGAAUCGCGCUUCCGUAACGAGCGAGGUAGACCUGUUAUGAAGUCCAUGUUUAUCAUCUCCCAUUUCUAAAUGGGAAUUUCUAUAUUCUGAGUUAAAUCGCCAGGCCUCUGGUGUUCGACUUUCACCUGUUGGCAAUUUGGACACCUAGCCACGAAAUCUGCUAUACUCUUUUUCAUAUCAUUCCACCAAUAAACCUCAUUAAAAUCGUGAUACAUCUUAGAGGAACCUGGGUGAAUAGAAUACCUGGAAUUUUGGGCUUCUGACAUAAUCCGCUCUCUGAGCCCAUCUACGUUUGGAACGUAUAGUAUCUCAAAGUACCAUCAUCUCCCCGUUGUUCAAAAGCCAUAGUCUUGUGUUUGUGAAUUCCUUCCUAAAGCUGCAAUAAGNNNNNNNNNNNNNNNNNNNNNNNNNUCGGAGUCCAAAAGUCGAACACCUAGAUUUUCUAAGCGGUGGACUUCCUUCAUCAUAGUUUGCUUGUCUGCCUCAACAUGAGCUAAGCUGCCCAUAGAACGCCGACUGAGAGCAUCGGCUACAACAUUUGCUUUCCCCGAAUGAUAGAUGAUAUAACAUCAUAAUCUUUAAGUAAUUCGAGCCACCUUCUCUGACGUAGAUUUAAUUCUCUUUGCUUGAAGAUGUACUGGAGACUCUUGUGAUCUGUAAAAAUGUCAACAUGUACCCCAUACAGAUAAUGGCGCCAGUCUUAAGCGCGAACACCACAGCUGCUAAUUCAAGGUCAUGAAUCGGAUAAUUCUUCUCGUGAGCCUUGAGCUGUCUCGACGCGUAGGCUAUGACUUUACCGUGCUGCAUUAAUACACACCCAAGACCAACCCCUGAGGCAUCAUAAUAAACAACGAACCCUUCGGUUCCUUCUGGUAGUGUCAGGACUGGAGCUGAAGUCAGCCUUUUCUUUAACUCCUCAAAACUUUUCUUGCACGCGUCUGACCAUUGAAACUUGACUUUCUUCUGAGUUAAUCUAGUUAAAGGGGACGAUAUAGAAGAAAAUCCCUAUACGAAACGCCUAUAAUAGCCCGCUAGACCCAAGAAACUUCUUAUAUUGGAUACUGAGGUGGGUCAAGGCCAAUUCUUCAUUGCCUCUAUUUUCUGAGAGUCCACCUUCACGCCUUCCCCUGAGAUGACAUGGCCCAAAAACGCUACUGAUUUCAACCAGAAUUCACACUUAGAAAAUUUUGCAUAUAGCUUGUGAUCCUGCAGUAUCUGCAACACAAUUAUAAGAUGUUCUACAUGGUCAGUCUCGCUACGGGAAUAAAUCAAGAUGUCAUCAAUAAACACAAUAACAAACAAAUCAAGAUAAGGCUUGAAGACCCUAUUCAUAAGGUCCAUGAAAGCUGCUGGUGCAUUCGUUAAACCAAAUGACAUUACCAGGAAUUCGAAAUGCCCAUAUCGAGUCCUAAAAGCUGUUUUUGGAAUAUCAACUUCCUUAACCUUCAACUGAUGGUAUCCCGAUCUGAGGUUAAUCUUGGAAUAACACUGGGCACCCUGAAGUUGAUCAAAUAAAUCAUCUAUUCCGGGAAGAGGGUACUUGUUAUUGAUGGUGACUUUAUUCAACCGGCGAUAGUCAAUGCACAUACGCAAAGUCACAUCCUUCUUUCGGACAAACAAGACCAGUGCGCCCCAAGGUGAGACACUUGGCCUUAUAAAUCCCUUAUCUAGAAGAUCUUUCAACUGGACUUUUAACUCUUUUAACUCUGCUGGAGCCAUUCUAUAAGGCGGAAUAGAUAUCGGCUUAGUGCAUGGAAGUAGAUCAAUUCCAAAGUCAAUCUCCAUAUGGGGAGGGACUCCAGGGAGAUCUUCGGGAAACACUUCUGGAAACUCAUUUACAAUUGGUACCGACUGGAGAGUGGGGAUCUGAGCGUCUGCAUCCUUAACUCGAACUAGGUGAUAGAUAUAUCCCUUGGAGAUCAUCUUUCUAGCUUUAAGAUAGGAAAUAAACCUACCCUUAGGUGCUACUACAUCACCCUUCCAUUCUAAGACUGGUUUACCGGGAAAUUCAAAACUUACUAUUUUGGUUCUACAACCCACUUUGGCAUAACAUGACUCUAACCAAUCCAUGCACAUGAUCACAUCAAAGUCUAAUAUCUCCAAUUCUACUAAGUCUGCUACAGUAAGACGAUGAUGCACUUUGACUGGACAUCCCCUAUAGAUAUACCUUGCUAUAACUGAUUCUCCAACUGGAGUGGAUACUUCAAAGGGUUCACCCAACUUUUCUGGUUCUAUCCCAAAUUUCUUUGCAAUAUAUGGGGUUAUAUAAGAUAGGGUGGAUCCCGGAUCUAUAAGAGCAUAGACAUCAAAACUGAAUAUAUUUAGCAUACCUAUGACAACAUCUCCAUGAGCCUCUGUAUCCUGACGGUCUGCCAGUGCAUACAAGCAGUUUCGACCACCGCCUGCAGUAUUAAACUUUACUGCACCGUGCCCUUGUUGGGCAUGAGAGUUAUUAUGGGCUACUGAAUUAGUGGACUAAGCUACAUUUCCUCCAUUGUUCUGCUUUGCCGAUGGACAAUCCCUCAAAAAGUGGCCUUGCUGACCGCACCCAAAGCAACCAUUUGUGCCCAAAUGACACAACCCUGGGUGCCUCUUACCACACGUGUUGCAAAUAGGGUAACUAGGGACUCUGUAACCCACACUAGCCUGUGACUGUGAGUCUGCUGUUCUGAAAUUCUGGUUUUUCUUGUUAAACUUUGACCUCUGAACCGGUGCACUAGCUGAAGAUGGAGCAGGUCCUAAUUUUGAUUUCUUGAAAAACUAGCGAUUGCCUCCUACUUGAGAUCCCCCAUGGUUGAAAUUUCCUGCAGACUUAGCUCUCUUGUUGAAUUCCCUCUCCUUCUCUCUCCGUAGACGUUCUUCUUCC
Molecule: long non-coding RNA, 17263 nt
Filed under: Nicotiana tabacum (common tobacco)
Lineage: Eukaryota; Viridiplantae; Streptophyta; Magnoliopsida; Solanales; Solanaceae
Description: long non-coding RNA (NTAB_LNC005355)
Source: RNAcentral